Molecule: long non-coding RNA, 941 nt
Organism: Cyprinus carpio carpio
Lineage: Eukaryota; Metazoa; Chordata; Actinopteri; Cypriniformes; Cyprinidae
Source: Ensembl
CAGAACAGAAGCGACAAGUAUAAGAGGAAAUCGCUGGAGUUAUUAUUGUUCAGCAAGCGUGCAACGUUGCAACAUUUGUAGUUAAAUGAUUAGCUAAGAGUCGAUGUCAAUUAAUUUUUAUAUGUUAAUAGAUGCAUCUAUAAAUGUACUUAUUGACGGUCAGGUAAAUGUAAGUAGAAACAUUUGCAAGUAACCUUAUGCUAUUUGUUUUCUUUGUUUGAAGAGCUCAGACUUCUGUGUGUGCUAUUUUGAUUGUUUCUCUUGCAGAUUGAAAACGCCUGCACUCGUCUAUGAAGAGGGCAAAAACAUGUACACUUCCAACAUGCAUGUUAUUGCCACAGUCCCUGUCUACUCUCCAGUCCUGAAUCCACUCUGAAGAGAGAUCUUCUUCUGUCUCUCUGUCUAGUAAUCAGAGCACAGAGACAUCUUUAGGUCCACAGCUAAGAAACAAUUGCCACGUCCAUUAUCUGUGUCCUGGCUUUUGUGGGAAAUCUGUCCAUCCUAAAGACUGAGGAGACAUUUCUGCAAGGACCUGCCAUUUACAUAAAGUACUGUAAGGAUGCUAUAAAAUAAAACACGUCUCAGAUGACAUCCUGCCAUUAUUCACAAAUAACCAUUUCUUUCUACAACUAAUGAUGUUUUAUUAACAAGGUUCGGGAGGAGCACGUGACCUAAUUAGCACAGGUGGAGCUCACUUAAGAUAAUCAACACUAGGGUAUAAAUACCGCUGACUUACCCCUAUCCAUUGACGGUUUAUCAGCAUUCGGUUUGCACCUUUUGCCAUUAUAUGGCAGACUCAGCUUCUCUCAUUUAGAAGACGAGGUUUAUAUUGGGGAUUUUUCAGUUCUCUGGCCAAUCUGCCGGGCCCAGGAUCGCUCCUUCUCCGCCAGACACCGCCGCGAGCUCCGUGCUCCAUUGCGGCCGCUGCUCUGCUCGACCAG